UAACGCGUGGGUAACCUGCCUCNUACAGGGGGAUAACAGUUGGAAACGACUGCUAAUACCGCAUAAGCGCACAGUACCGCAUGGUACCGUGUGAAAAACUCCGGUGGUAUGAGAUGGACCCGCGUCUGAUUAGCUAGUUGGUGGGGUAACGGCCUACCAAGGCGACGAUCAGUAGCCGACCUGAGAGGGUGACCGGCCACAUUGGGACUGAGACACGGCCCAAACUCCUACGGGAGGCAGCAGUGGGGAAUAUUGCACAAUGGGGGAAACCCUGAUGCAGCAACGCCGCGUGAGUGAAGAAGUAUUUCGGUAUGUAAAGCUCUAUCAGCAGGGAAGAAAAUGACGGUACCUGACUAAGAAGCCCCGGCUAACUACGUGCCAGCAGCCGCGGUAAUACGUAGGGGGCAAGCGUUAUCCGGAUUUACUGGGUGUAAAGGGAGCGUAGACGGCGAGACAAGUCUGAAGUGAAAGCCCGGGGCUCAACCCCGGGACUGCUUUGGAAACUGCCUUGCUAGAGUGCUGGAGAGGUAAGUGGAAUUCCUAGUGUAGCGGUGAAAUGCGUAGAUAUUAGGAGGAACACCAGUGGCGAAGGCGGCUUACUGGACAGUAACUGACGUUGAGGCUCGAAAGCGUGGGGAGCAAACAGGAUUAGAUACCCUGGUAGUCCACGCCGUAAGCGAUGAAUGCUAGGUGU
RNAcentral lists this ribosomal RNA (694 nucleotides) under uncultured bacterium. Its description in RNAcentral is "bacterial SSU rRNA". It matches the Rfam family "Bacterial small subunit ribosomal RNA", at positions 111 to 823 of the family's 1533-position model. The record is from RNAcentral.